GCUCAGAUUGAACGCUGGCGGCAUGCCUUACACAUGCAAGUCGAACGGCAGCACGGAGCUUGCUCUGGUGGCGAGUGGCGAACGGGUGAGUAAUAUAUCGGAACGUACCCUAGAGUGGGGGAUAACGUAGCGAAAGUUACGCUAAUACCGCAUACGAUCUAAGGAUGAAAGUGGGGGAUCGCAAGACCUCAUGCUCGUGGAGCGGCCGAUAUCUGAUUAGCUAGUUGGUAGGGUAAAAGCCUAUCAAGGCAUCGAUCAGUAGCUGGUCUGAGAGGACGACCAGCCACACUGGAACUGAGACACGGUCCAGACUCCUACGGGAGGCAGCAGUGGGGAAUUUUGGACAAUGGGCGAAAGCCUGAUCCAGCAAUGCCGCGUGAGUGAAGAAGGCCUUCGGGUUGUAAAGCUCUUUUGUCAGGGAAGAAACGGUGAGAGCUAAUAUCUUUUGCUAAUGACGGUACCUGAAGAAUAAGCACCGGCUAACUACGUGCCAGCAGCCGCGGUAAUACGUAGGGUGCAAGCGUUAAUCGGAAUUACUGGGCGUAAAGCGUGCGCAGGCGGUUUUGUAAGUCUGAUGUGAAAUCCCCGGGCUCAACCUGAGAAUUGCAUUGGAGACUGCAAGGCUAGAAUCUGGCAGAGGGGGGUAGAAUUCCACGUGUAGCAGUGAAAUGCGUAG
RNAcentral lists this ribosomal RNA (676 nucleotides) under uncultured bacterium. RNAcentral's name for it is "bacterial SSU rRNA". It matches the Rfam family "Bacterial small subunit ribosomal RNA", at positions 22 to 693 of the family's 1533-position model. The record is from RNAcentral.